Molecule: ribosomal RNA, 553 nt
Filed under: uncultured bacterium
Lineage: Bacteria
Description: bacterial SSU rRNA
Rfam family: Bacterial small subunit ribosomal RNA
Source: RNAcentral
UACACAUGCAAGUCGAGGGGUAUGCUUCUUCGGGAGCAGAGACGGCGCACGGGUGCUGUAACGCGUAUGCAAUCUACCUUUGUACAGAGGGAUAGCCCAGAGUAAAUUUCGGAUUAAUACCUCAAUAGUAUGCAGAGUUGGCAUCAACACUGCAUUAAAGUCACAACGGUAAAAGAUGAGCAUGCGUCCCAUUAGCUAGUUGGUCAAGGUAACGGCUUACCAAGGCUACGAUGGGUAGGGGUCCUGUAGUAGGGAGAUCCCCCACACUGGUACUGAGACACGGACCAGACUCCAUACGGGAGGCAGCAGUGAGGAAUAUUGGACAAUGGGCGCAAGCCUGAUCCAGCCAUGCCGCGUGCAGGAUGACGGUCCUAUGGAUUGUCAACUGCUUUUGCACAGGAAGAAACAACUCUACGUGUAGAGUCUUGACGGUACUGUGAGAAUAAGGAUCGGCUAACUCCGUGCCAGCAGCCGCGGUAAUACGGAGGAAUCCAAGCGUAAUCCGGAAUCAUCGAGGUUUCAAAGGGUCCGAAGGCGGAAAUGGUAAGUCAGU